RNAcentral lists this ribosomal RNA (671 nucleotides) under Salmonella enterica subsp. enterica serovar Anatum. RNAcentral describes it as "partial 23S ribosomal RNA". It matches the Rfam family "Bacterial large subunit ribosomal RNA", at positions 1084 to 1754 of the family's 2925-position model. Lineage: Bacteria; Pseudomonadati; Pseudomonadota; Gammaproteobacteria; Enterobacterales; Enterobacteriaceae. The record is from RNAcentral.
CCCAGACAGCCAGGAUGUUGGCUUAGAAGCAGCCAUCAUUUAAAGAAAGCGUAAUAGCUCACUGGUCGAGUCGGCCUGCGCGGAAGAUGUAACGGGGCUAAACCAUGCACCGAAGCUGCGGCAGCGACACUCAGGUGUUGUUGGGUAGGGGAGCGUUCUGUAAGCCUGUGAAGGUGGGUCGUGAGGCUUGCUGGAGGUAUCAGAAGUGCGAAUGCUGACAUAAGUAACGAUAAAGCGGGUGAAAAGCCCGCUCGCCGGAAGACCAAGGGUUCCUGUCCAACGUUAAUCGGGGCAGGGUGAGUCGACCCCUAAGGCGAGGCCGAAAGGCGUAGUCGAUGGGAAACGGGUUAAUAUUCCCGUACUUGGUGUUACUGCGAAGGGGGGACGGAGAAGGCUAUGUUGGCCGGGCGACGGUUGUCCCGGUUUAAGCGUGUAGGUGUGUGUUCCAGGUAAAUCCGGUUCACUUUAACACUGAGGCGUGAUGACGAGGCACUACGGUGCUGAAGCAACAAAUGCCCUGCUUCCAGGAAAAGCCUCUAAGCAUCAGGUAACAUCAAAUCGUACCCCAAACCGACACAGGUGGUCAGGUAGAGAAUACCAAGGCGCUUGAGAGAACUCGGGUGAAGGAACUAGGCAAAAUGGUGCCGUAACUUCGGGAGAAGGCACGCUGA